This 856-nucleotide ribosomal RNA is filed under the name Spirochaeta sp. Its description in RNAcentral is "bacterial SSU rRNA". It matches the Rfam family "Bacterial small subunit ribosomal RNA", at positions 524 to 1382 of the family's 1533-position model. The record is from RNAcentral. Lineage: Bacteria; Pseudomonadati; Spirochaetota; Spirochaetia; Spirochaetales; Spirochaetaceae.
CACGUAAGUUGCGAGCGUCGUUCGGAAUUAUUGGGCGUAAAGGGCAUGUAGGCGGCAUGGUAAGCUUGAUGUGAAAUCUCCGGGCUUAACCCGGAGGGUGCAUUGAGAACUGCCAUGCUUGAGUUGCUGAGGGGAAGCCGGAAUUCCAGGUGUAGGGGUGAAAUCUGUAGAUAUCUGGAAGAACACCAAUGGCGAAGGCAGGCUUCUAUCAGAUAACUGACGCUGAGGUGCGAAGGUGCGGGGAGCGAACAGGAUUAGAUACCCUGGUAGUCCGCACAGUAAACGAUGUACACUAGGCGUUUGCCCAAGUGGCGAGUGCCGAAGCUAACGCGAUAAGUGUACCGCCUGGGGAGUAUACUCGCAAGGGUGAAACUCAAAGGAAUUGACGGGGGCCCGCACAAGCGGUGGAGCAUGUGGUUUAAUUCGAUGGUACGCGAGGAACCUUACCUGGGCUUGACAUAACAAGCGAUUCGCUGGAAACAGCGGAGCGUAGUAAUACGGUUUGUUACAGGUGCUGCAUGGCUGUCGUCAGCUCGUNCCGUGAGGUGUUGGGUUAAGUCCCGCAACGAGCGCAACCCCUACUGCUAGUUACUAACAGGUGAAGCUGAGAACUCUGGCGGAACUGCCGGUGAUAAACCGGAGGAAGGCGGGGAUGACGUCAAGUCAUCAUGGCCCUUAUGUCCAGGGCUACGCACGUGCUACAAUGGUUGACACAGAGCGAGGCGAAGCAGUGAUGUGGAGCAAAACGCAAAAAGGCAAUCGUAGUUCGGAUUGAAGUCUGAAACUCGACUUCAUGAAGUUGGAAUCGCUAGUAAUCGCGCAUCAGCACGGCGCGGUGAAUACGUUCCCGGGCCUU